GAUGAACGCUGGCGGCGUGCCUAAUACAUGCAAGUCGAGCGAACAGACGAGGAGCUUGCUCCUCUGACGUUAGCGGCGGACGGGUGAGUAACACGUGGAUAACCUACCUAUAAGACUGGGAUAACUUCGGGAAACCGGAGCUAUUACCGGAUAAUAUAUUGAACCGCAUGGUUCAAUAUUGAAAGACGGUUUUGCUGUCACUUAUAGAUGGAUCCGCGCCGCAUUAGCUAGUUGGUAAGGUAACGGCUUACCAAGGCGACGAUGCGUAGCCGACCUGAGAGGGUGAUCGGCCACACUGGAACUGAGACACGGUCCAGACUCCUACGGGAGGCAGCAGUAGGGAAUCUUCCGCAAUGGGCGAAAGCCUGACGGAGCAACGCCGCGUGAGUGAUGAAGGUCUUCGGAUCGUAAAACUCUGUUAUUAGGGAAGAACAAAUGUGUAAGUAACUAUGCACGUCUUGACGGUACCUAAUCAGAAAGCCACGGCUAACUACGUG
Molecule: ribosomal RNA, 497 nt
Filed under: uncultured bacterium
Lineage: Bacteria
Description: partial 16S ribosomal RNA
Rfam family: Bacterial small subunit ribosomal RNA
Source: RNAcentral